Myzus persicae (green peach aphid) is the source of this 163-nucleotide long non-coding RNA. RefSeq lists it as uncharacterized. The transcript is spliced from 2 exons. The record is from RefSeq and is a predicted model, not a curated record. NCBI's taxonomy places the organism in Eukaryota, Metazoa, Arthropoda, Insecta, Hemiptera, Aphididae.
UAAUAUUAUAAAGUAUAAAAAUAUGAAUAAUAAAAAGAGAUCCAGAAAGUUGGUGGAAGCCGCAAUUAAAAUGAACAAAAAUCAACAAAAUACAACAGCUGUAGCAAGACAGCUAUUUUUGCCAGUUGAAAAUUAUGAUAACACAUACCAUCAUUACAGUAAG